This 424-nucleotide ribosomal RNA is filed under the name uncultured beta proteobacterium. RNAcentral's name for it is "bacterial SSU rRNA". It matches the Rfam family "Bacterial small subunit ribosomal RNA", at positions 207 to 622 of the family's 1533-position model. Lineage: Bacteria; Pseudomonadati; Pseudomonadota; Betaproteobacteria. The record is from RNAcentral.
CAAGACCUUGCGCUUUUGGAGCGGCCGAUGUCUGAUUAGCUAGUUGGUGAGGUAAAGGCUUACCAAGGCUUCGAUCAGUAGCUGGUCUGAGAGGACGACCAGCCACACUGGGACUGAGACACGGCCCAGACUCCUACGGGAGGCAGCAGUGGGGAAUUUUGGACAAUGGGGGCAACCCUGAUCCAGCCAUGCCGCGUGAGUGAAGAAGGCCUUCGGGUUGUAAAGCUCUUUCAGCCGGAACGAAACGGUUACAGUUAAUAACUGUGAUCACUGACGGUACCGGAAGAAGGAGCACCGGCUAACUACGUGCCAGCAGCCGCGGUAAUACGUAGGGUGCGAGCGUUAAUCGGAAUUACUGGGCGUAAAGCGUGCGCAGGCGGUUUUGUAAGUCAGAUGUGAAAUCCCCGGGCUUAACCUGGGAACU